Carassius auratus (goldfish) is the source of this 988-nucleotide long non-coding RNA. RefSeq lists it as uncharacterized. The record is from RefSeq and is a predicted model, not a curated record. NCBI's taxonomy places the organism in Eukaryota, Metazoa, Chordata, Actinopteri, Cypriniformes, Cyprinidae. The transcript has 7 exons.
UGGAAGCAGAUGUGACAGUCAGUUCAGUUCAGUUCAGUUCAGUGUAUCAGCUGCAGAGAAACAAUGUUGCAGUUACACUUCACGAAUGAUACAUUACCCGAUAAUGUCAGCACUGACUUUCUGAAUCUGAAUAAAAUCAGUGAACAGUCAGAGCGGUUCUUGCGUCAGCUUACGGAGUGCAGAACCACUGAGGGCUCUGAUGAAGAGUGUCCUCCUCCUACCUCAUGGUGCUUUAAAAAGAAACCUAACAGCUGAACAGGUGAAGGCAGACUUGCUGUCAUUAGACUGGCCGUGGGUAAGACACUAAUGGUCAACCAGCUUGUUGACAUGGAGUGGAAAUUUGGUGUUACUGUUGGUUCAAGUGAGCUGCAAAAGACUGGAAACAUCUUUCUACAGGGUGCAGACCACAGACAUCACUGUGUCGUGUAGAUUGGGCUGUGGUGCACAGGGGGAUUUCCUGCAGUAUUUCACCCCAGGCGCUGCAGCCCUAAUCUGGGCAGGACAGACGGCCUGCGCAGGCUGCGUUGAAGGAAGAAGGGCCUCAACUUGUAUGCCUUGAGAAAAUGUGAUCUGCAUCCUGAAUAUUAACACGGGCAGUAAAGAUAUGCAGCUACCACUCACCUUAGUUCCAGCCUCUCUCAUCGCCCUGGCAACCAAGCCAUCCCAUUGCUUCCCCUCCACUAGCACCGGGCUGUCCCAAGGCUGACCCCUCCCCCCUCCCCACAGCCUCAUGCAGUAGUCGGGGGGGUAGGGCACAAAAAUACUGCAUAGUUUCUGGAGCAUUUUCUUUUGUUACCAUCUCUUCUGAGAGAAUAAUUUUCCUCAGAAUGAGAAUUCAUUCACUCAAUGUCAAUGUGUAUACUGUUGAAAACUAAGAAAUUAGGUAAAACCACAAACAUUUAGCCAUUAGAAGAUUUUGCUCCUUCACAUGGAGCUACUAUUCUGCAAAAAAAAAAAAAAAAAAAUCACCAAUAAUUUGUGCCAAGAG